AUGGCGUCUCGGGGAGGUUACGACGGCGGCUCCGCCACGGGAGGCAAGAUCCGUAGGCGCCCUCCCUCCCGCGUCGCAGCUGCGUCACCCUAUGCGCGCCCGGCUGCUCCUGCUCAUCCAGCGUCACCCUAUGCGCGCCCGGCUGCUCCUGCUCAUCCAGCGUCACACGGCGGUGAAGGGAGCGGCUGGCUCGCCCGUCUCAUCUCCGGUGGCGCAUCGCGCCUCCUCUCCUCUGUGUUUCGCAAGCCGCCUCCUCAGCUCGCCGCGCCUACGCUUUCGGAACCAGAGUUGGUCGACGCUCCUUGCUCGUCGCCGCCGCCGCCUUUAGAGAACGACAUUCUAGAAGAAAACGGAGGAGGGACUGCUAACAAUCUGUCUACUGAUAAUCCUGAAAAUUAUCCCAUUGAUGGAGAUGACAUUCUAAGUUCUUGUUUCAAUGGUAGUAUGGAUCUUGAAGAAUUGUUGAAGCAGAAGACCUUUACAAGGAGUGAGUUUGAAUAUUUGACUGGGUUGUUGCGAUCCAGAACUGUUGGAUCCAAUACAAUGCAGUCAGAAGUUAAUAAUAUAAAACAAACAUUGUCUCCCGAGAAGGAAAAGGGAUCUAGAGACUUACCUGUUGAUUUCUCCAUUAAAUCAUACAGUAUCGCUGAUCAAGUUGCUUCACCUGCAGAACUUGCAAAGGCAUAUAUGGGUUCAAGAUGUUCAGAGGGGGCACCGUUACGCCUUAGAUUGCAUGAACCCUCCUCCCUUUCUGUCAAAUCAAUAGAAUCUGGCACAAUACAAAUAGCUAAAUCUCCAAAGGCCCCACUUCUCGGAAUUUCAAGAUUGUCUGCUUCCACACCCUUUGAUCGCCUUGGAAGCAACUAUAGGACUCCAAAUAAAUCAGCAAUACACAAAAUGUCAUCAUCUCCUUAUUUUAAGGGUCCUGUUUCUUCUAGGGACAUAUGUGGUACUGUAUCUUCAUCAUAUCAGACUGCAAACAGCGUUCAUACAUUUGGCAGGCAGUUCCUGAGGAGGAAGAACAUUGCUCUCAACAAUGAGACUGUGUCUGUUGGCCCCAUACGCAAAAUGCACCAAAGAUAUAACAGAGUAUCAUCACUCUCGGAAACAUGGCCUGGUUAUCGUGAGUAUCCUGGUAAUGAUGCAAGCAAACUGGAUGAAGGUUUCGAACACUCCACACAAACUCAAAAGCGUCUGCGUCUGGCUGAAGUUGACGAUGGCACUCUACGUAUCUGUGGCAACAGUUUUGUUAAAGCACCAGCUCAAUCAACUGAGAUGGCUGCAAAGAUAUUGAAACAGCUUGAUACAUUAGUCCCUUCACCUCCAGAGAAGGAAAGCACACCAGAAACGAAGCAAAAACAUGGAAAUGUCCUGGAUGUUGAGGAUUCUAUUUCUCGGAGAAAGGAAAUACCAUCUCAGGGCAGCCUUUUGGAAUCAUCUUCGUCAUUCAUCCCAGCUGCAAUAGAUGGCAAGACUGUUGAUGCUAUGUCAAACGGUUCUGCCCUCCUCCUAGAAAGUAAAUCAUCCUCUGAAUUAAUUACUUCACCCAAGGAUUCUCUGGAGGUGGACCACUGCAGUGGAAGUAUUGAAAUUGAGAAAAACUACUCACCAAUCCAGGAACAUGCUGCUAACAACUCUGGAACAACAAAUAAGGAGAAUCCCCCAACAGCCUCUUUGCGAAGCUAUUCUCCUUCCAAUCUGGUGUUAUCUAGUGAAAUAAAACGAACCAAAAUGCUGGCUUCAUCAAAUGGCUUCUCAUUCCCUGUCACGGCUGCACCGGGUGCCCACUCACAGGCCCCUCCAACGCCUACUAUGGCAUCUCCACCUGCACUACAUGUUGGAAAGCACAAAUCUUCUGCACUACCCAGUGUGCCAGUUACUUCCCCGGAAAGUGCUCCAAGGUUUUUGAAACGAGUUUCAGAAGAAAGCUCAAUUUCAGACAAGCACAAUAAGAAGUUAAAUGGAGAAAUUCCGCCGGUUUCUUCCAAGGGUGCUGGACAUGUUGCAUCAUUCACUAGUAACCCUGUAUUUACUGUUGCCAGUUCCAAGCCUACAACCUUAAGUAAUGGGCUAGAACAUACAUCAAAAUCAACUGCCUCUGCUGUUCUGGCGUCUAAUAAACCGAACAACCCAUUUUUGUCUACAAAUACUGCCUCUUCCCAAUCUGCUAGAGCACCAACAUCUGGAAGUGCCAAUGCGCCUUUCAAUUUCUCACCAAAGUUUGGUGGUGCAAGUUUGUUAGCUGCCCAGAACAAAUCCAAGGCAGGAAGCAGCAGUGCCCCAUUUAAUUUCUCUCCGCAGUUUGGUAGUGUGAAUUUGGUCGCGUCUCUGGAUAAGUCCAAAGUAACCUCACCUGAAUCAACGUUGUUGUCUGGAAACCAGUUCGCCCAACCAGGAAAUAACAAUUCAUUGUGCACACAGAGUUCAGCAAGUAAGUCGGAUAUGAUGUCUCCGGAAGAAUCAAACACGGGGAGCUUACCAUUUGGUUCAGCACCUCUGAGCCCUAGUCCUUUCAGUUUGAGCUCUGUAGCUGCCUCUGGCACGACCUCUGUGAUUACAACUACUCCACUGCCUCUGCCAUCUAUGGCUUCUUCUGCUUUGGGGUCUAGUAAAGCAUUCUCGGUGUCACCAAUAUUUGGCAGCAGUCCAAUCACGACUGCUCCAUCGUCGUUUGGCAUGCCGAAUAAUGGUUCCGCUAUGUCCAUUAGCCCCUCUAGCGCUGUAUUUUCAUUCACUUCGGCCACACCUACAAUACCAGAUCCACCAUCCUCAACACCACUAUUUGGUAGCACGAUCCCAACUAUUGGCUUCAGUACAGGAACUGAUCAGAUGACUGUGGGGAAUAACCAUACUCUUUCUGUUACGGCCCCACCAUUUGGCUUUCAGAGCAAUUCACUGUCAACUCCAGCUUUCAGCGGCUUUCAGAGCAAUUCACUGUCAACUCCAGCUUUCAGCACGCCAGCUACUCAAUUCGCUUCCACCUCAACCACCUCACCUGGCAUUUUCCAGUUUGGCCAGCAGAGUCAAGCUUCGUCAGGUGUCUUUUCAAUGGGCACUGUCCGUGACAAUGACAAGUCUGGCAGAAGAAUUGUCAAGGUAAAGAGAAAGAAAUAG
This 3114-nucleotide ribosomal RNA is filed under the name Triticum aestivum (bread wheat). RNAcentral describes it as "partial small subunit ribosomal RNA". Lineage: Eukaryota; Viridiplantae; Streptophyta; Magnoliopsida; Poales; Poaceae. The record is from RNAcentral.